This 935-nucleotide unclassified non-coding RNA is filed under the name Hevea brasiliensis (rubber tree). Lineage: Eukaryota; Viridiplantae; Streptophyta; Magnoliopsida; Malpighiales; Euphorbiaceae. The record is from RNAcentral.
CAAGAUAUAAACAUACAUUCCCAGAGUUAGGAAUAAAUUGUCACAUUAAUUUUAACACAUAAAAUAGCGAGAAAAAUUGGUCUCCAUGCCAAUUGAAACAUCAAAAGUGGUCUUAAAGUCACAGCUUGAUGAAGAAUCAUCAGCUAAAUAAAAUAAAUAGGCAACACUAUAAUUAUAAUAAUUAAACAGAAAUUAAUUGUCUACAAACUGGGAAAUUCAGUCAAAUUCUCCACUUGUUCAUUGCUGCUGGUUUUAAAAUUUCUCAAUUACGAUCAUCGUUUGAUAUCAUUCCCUUAAUAAGACCACCACCUUUCUGCUGCAGACCAAAUCCUUUGGCCUCUGAUCUCUUCAUGAUUCUUAGUCUCUUGCACGAUUCAAUAAACAUCUCCCAGGGAACGUCUCCUACUAGCAUCCAGUCUCCAUCCUUGUCUUCAUAUAUGGGAACGUAGUCGCUGCUGUCUGCAUCCUUCAACGCUUCCCCAAUGCCAUAACAGCCGAAUAACUUCUCCAAUGCAACGACGAGAUCUGAAUACGCCUUGUGCAUGCCCAAAUCAAUCUUGCGAAGAAAAGGAGCUCCAUCCAUGCUAACUUUGACGUACAUUUUCGAAGUUUCAAGCCCUUCUUUCUCAUUGAAACUAUUCUUUUUCCGAUAAGAGCAAAGCGGUGGCCACCCCACAACUAGACUUUUCGUUGGGAUAUUCAGGUCAUUGGUGGUGCUAUUAGCUUCGCGGGAUACCUCAGAGAAAACCCUUUUCUUCUCAUUUUUAUUAAUGUUAAGAACUUCACCGCCUGGUAGCCCCAACCUUAGCUCAGUGACGAUUUCAAGUCCAAGAUCUUUUGCCAUUUUGGGUGAUGGGUUACAGUUGAAAACUUUUUUCAAGAACUUGUUUUUGGAAUAUGUGAUAGCUAAUUUGCUAUGGUUCUGUGGUUGUUAU